UACGUAGGACCCAAGCGUUAUUCGGAUUGACUGGGCGUAAAGAGUUGCGUAGGUGGUUUGUUAAGCGAAUAGUGAAAUCUUGUGGCUCAACCAUAAGGCUAUUAUUCGAACUGGCAAACUCGAGAGCAGAAGAGGUAUCUGGAAUUCCCAGUGUAGGAGUGAAAUCCGUAGAUAUUGGGAGGAACACCAAUGGCGUAGGCAGGAUACUGGUCUGUUUCUGACACUGAGGCACGAAAGCGUGGGGAGCGAACGGG
Molecule: ribosomal RNA, 254 nt
Filed under: uncultured bacterium
Lineage: Bacteria
Description: partial 16S ribosomal RNA
Rfam family: Bacterial small subunit ribosomal RNA
Source: RNAcentral